Unclassified non-coding RNA from Gorilla gorilla gorilla (western lowland gorilla), 196 nucleotides. The record is from Ensembl. NCBI's taxonomy places the organism in Eukaryota, Metazoa, Chordata, Mammalia, Primates, Hominidae.
CGGCGGGAGUACGGCUUCAGGCCAGAGCCGAGAGGCGCUGGCGGCGGCUGGACCGCGAGGUGGGCUCGGUGGGCGGCGCCGAGCUCGGCUGUGCUAGGAGGCGCGGACAGCCCGGGGCUGCCACCUGCGCCACCGGGUCCCGGCGCACAAAGCUACACGCCUCUCUGCAGCCCUCUGCCCUGCUUCGCGUUCCGGA